Long non-coding RNA from Oncorhynchus tshawytscha (Chinook salmon), 3019 nucleotides. RefSeq lists it as uncharacterized. The record is from RefSeq and is a predicted model, not a curated record. The transcript has 6 exons. NCBI's taxonomy places the organism in Eukaryota, Metazoa, Chordata, Actinopteri, Salmoniformes, Salmonidae.
UGUGUCCAAACUUUUGACUGGUACUUGCUAAAUUAAUUUGAUUAAUAUUAUGGUGUUUCUAUUCCAGGAAAAACCCUCUGGGUAUCUGUUAGAAUGGAACGGAAAAUAUGUCGCUGUACAACGUGACGGUAGGCAGUACAGUACUGGGAUAUUUAACUAAAGAAUCCCUGUGUGGUGCGGAGAACCCCAACGGGGAGGAAGGAGUAGGCUGUCCUUGUAAAUAAGAAUUUGUAAGAACUGAUUCCAUAUGUGUUAUUUCAUAGUUAUGAUGUUUUCACAACAUAAAUGUGAUGUGUACUACAAAAUGCGGGAUAAGUGGGUUCACAGGGUUCAAAUCCCUGUUCAUUUUCCUUUAACCUAGAGUGAGUGAGAAAAAGGAACAUGGGGUGAGACAUUCUCACUAAUUUAUAAAUAAAGCCAGUACGACGUAACGGUUGGGAGUAGGCUACAGGAUUGGAGGAUUCUAAACAUUUUGCCUUCAUUAAACAUUACUCAACACUAGUGAGACUAAUUUCGCCUAUGGUAAGCCUACAGUAUAUUGAACAAAUGUUUUUUUCAAUGACGUGACUCUCUGCCAAUAAUUACAUUUAGAGGAUUGGAAAUUAAUAUCUAAAUGGGCAUUUUCCUUUAGAUAUUCUCACAGAUCCUCAGGGGCUUUUAUAUCAUUCUAAAUGUAUUAAUAAUAAUAAUCACUUUGUUUAAAAAGUAACGAUAUUUUGGAGAUUUCAUUUUCCUUUAACCUAGAGUGAGUGAGAAAAAGGAAAAAAAGUAGACAUCACUUGCUUAUAUUCAAUCAACAAAUUUCUCAAGAGUAUCAUGGCAUAUUUGAACAAGUUAUUUGUUAUGGAUCCAUAACUAAAUAAACAUCAGCAUUUUGAAAGAGUAUUUUUAUCAUUAUAUCAUUAACAAAAGCUGAUGAAGAAAAACAGGACUGUACAGUAUAUGCUUUUACAUAUGGAUCAUAAAGCAUUUAGAAGAUACAAGCCACCUGCAUUUGUUUAUUAGGCAAUAUUUUUUUUUUAAAUUUUAUUUACUUGUGCAGUCUGACAAGUAAACAUAGCAUACAGUAAAUACUGUAGUAAACAUGGGAAAGUGCCUAAUUCCUUACAAAAGGGUUAGCAGGCCAUGUACAGACUUUCUCGGUGACCUCAAGUACUCAUUAACUCUGUCUUUAAUGCUAUUUUCGGGUUGCAUCAGUCAUGGACAGAAACUUCUGAGACACAGUAUUAAUGAUGAACACCCAGAGGUUCACUGGUAAGCCACAUUUGCCUCGGGAUCCAUCCCAGUUUGUAUUCUGUGCCCACUCAUGGUAUCUCUGUUUGGUUACACAUCCUUGGAAUAGCAGAACUACAUAAUAACGGUCAGGGCGGCCCUUGCUGUGCCUGGUGUGCAUUUGUGGUCAAGUUCUGUUGUCAGAAGAGGAAUGGAAAUGUCAGGGUGAACCGACGACCUGACGAACCUGCGAUGUAUGUUGACUCUGCCUGUCGGAGGUGGAGUUGCCCUUUUCAACGCGUCAUUCUCCACCUGACUCUCCGCCAAUACUGCCUGACUCUCCGCUAAUGAGGAGUGACUUUCCACCAAUACCACCUGGCUCUGGACCAAUGCACAUUAAGCAGAUGAGCAGAAAGGUACUGUGAUUUUUUAUUUUUUAUUAACAACUCGUUUUUGAAUGUUAACUGUGUUAAGGGUGGAGUUUUGGGUGGAGUGAGGAAAGGUGUUACUUUCAGCCACUUUACAAUAGGCUGUAAGUAUACAGAAGAUUGCUGCUUGUCCUCACUUUCAUUAUACUGUAGCACCAUGACCAGUAUCUCUAUUCAAUUGAGCAAAUUAAGGGCUUUCAGGAGGAACAGAAAAUCUACAGGAGACAAAAAAUACUGGUAGACUUGGGGAUUUUGGUCAAGGACUGUGCCGUUCGCAAACACUAUCAUCAGAUGCCUGUUUUACGCCUAACUUGAAAGCCCAGGAAAAUGAACAGCGAGACUAUUCAAGCCAUCGACUCACUCAUGAAUGAAGAUGACGAGCGAUCGGCAAAGGCAAUAUGUAAUCUGUUGGCAUAAUGACACGACAUCGACAUCACUCUAAUUACAGUAAGAAGACAGCUGAAGAAACUUGCAUGGAUUUGCGGAAAGGCUCGGCCCAGGCAUGGAUCAAAGCUGGCUAGACAUUCAAUAAUGUCAUCUUCACAGACGAAUCAACCCGUGGCCCUUGAGCAAUUUGCUCAAAAUUGCUACAGAAAAAAAGGAAGACCAAACAAGCCGAGUUCCAAGCAUCCGCUCAAACUCCAUGUGUGGGGGGUCAAUUUCUCGCCAGGGACCAGGCCCAUAUUUGAUUUUUGAUGGUAUAUGGCUCAAAAUUUCUUUGAGGAAUAAAUCAUCAAGAGAUAUGCUGGACCCUAUGUCAGAGAGACAAUGACCCAAAAUACACUGCCGCCCAGGUUUGCGUUGCAAAUGAGGGCAUAAACUGGGUCAAGACGCCAGCAGAGUCUCCUGAUUUAAACCCGAUCAAAUUUGUUUGGCAUCAACUGAAAACAUGCAUCCGUAGCUCUGCCAAGCCGACAAGCAAAGAUGAACUGGUCAAGGCCAUCAAGAUGUUUUGGCUAGAGAAAUUGACGAUACAACAAUGCAACAAAUACAUUGAUCUUCUCAUCAAGGUUUUACCUGUGGUUGUGGAGCUGGGUGGAAGUGCGACUAAAAUGUAGUUUAUGUAAACAUCCGUAUUUGAAAAUCUUUUUUCUCGUUAUUUUAUUUUAUUAACAAAAGCAUAAAGAUGUUGCUGAAUAAAUACUGUACUGCUGUUUUGAGUUAGAAAUGUAACACUUUAGAGUACUUAAGUAUCGAAUACAUUGCAAGUUGGAGGAUUUUCACAACAGUAGCCGGGUUAUAAAAAGUCUAUUGUCCUGCUAAUAGGAAACAUUUGCAUGAUGGGCUACAGUUGUGAAAAGCAAGUGUUUGAAAUCCUGUUUUCAAAAUGCCUUCAGUUGUCCAUCACUACUGUAAAUUAAAAUGCAGCAUCUUGUUUA